GACGAACGCUGGCGGCGUGCUUAACACAUGCAAGUCGAACGGAAAGGCCCUGCUUUUGUGGGGUGCUCGAGUGGCGAACGGGUGAGUAACACGUGAGUAACCUGCCCUUGACUUUGGGAUAACUUCAGGAAACUGGGGCUAAUACCGGAUAGGAGCUCCUGCUGCAUGGUGGGGGUUGUAAAGUUUCGGCGGUUGGGGAUGGACUCGCGGCUUAUCAGCUUGUUGGUGGGGUAGUGGCUUACCAAGGCUUUGACGGGUAGCCGGCCUGAGAGGGUGACCGGCCACAUUGGGACUGAGAUACGGCCCAGCCUCCUACGGGAGGCAGCAGUGGGGAAUAUUGGACAAUGGGCGGAAGCCUGAUGCAGCAACGCCGCGUGCGGGAUGACGGCCUUCGGGUUGUAAACCGCUUGCGCCUGUGACGAAGCGUGAGUGACGGUAAUGGGUAAAGAAGCACCGGCUAACUACGUG
RNAcentral lists this ribosomal RNA (468 nucleotides) under uncultured bacterium. RNAcentral describes it as "partial 16S ribosomal RNA". It matches the Rfam family "Bacterial small subunit ribosomal RNA", at positions 28 to 507 of the family's 1533-position model. The record is from RNAcentral.